RNAcentral lists this ribosomal RNA (471 nucleotides) under uncultured bacterium. RNAcentral describes it as "SSU rRNA". It matches the Rfam family "Bacterial small subunit ribosomal RNA", at positions 26 to 518 of the family's 1533-position model. The record is from RNAcentral.
AGGAUUAACGCUGGCGGCGUGCAUGAAACAUGCAAGUCGAGCGCGGCGCGUGGCUUCGGUCACGCGUCUAGCGGCGCACGGGUGAGUAACACGUGAGCAACCUACCUUCGAGUUCGGGAUAGCCCUGGGAAACCAGGAUUAAUACCGGAUGUGGUCACAACGGGACAUCCCGAUGUGAAAAAAGGCGUAAGCCGCUCGAUGACGGGCUCGCGGCCUAUUAGCUUGUUGGUGGGUAACGGCCUACCAAGGCGACGAUGGGUAGCUGGUCUGAGAGGACGAUCAGCCACACUGGGACUGAGACACGGCCCAGACUCCUACGGGAGGCAGCAGUUAGGAAUUUUCCGCAAUGGGCGAAAGCCUGACGGAGCAACGCCGCGUGUGUGAUGAAGGCCUUCGGGUUGUAAGCACUGUCGGAGGGAGAAUGAUGACGGUACCUCCAAGAAGCCCGGCUAACUACGCGCCAGCAGCCGC